RNAcentral lists this long non-coding RNA (21239 nucleotides) under Lathyrus oleraceus (garden pea). Its description in RNAcentral is "Pisum sativum (pea) long non-coding RNA (PSAT_LNC032328)". Lineage: Eukaryota; Viridiplantae; Streptophyta; Magnoliopsida; Fabales; Fabaceae. The record is from RNAcentral.
AUUCUUCGCCAGAUUGAUAGCUGACAUGCUGUCGAUCUUCAUGGUAAUUGCUCAAUGACUCUUCGUUGUUAUUUCUUCGAUCAAAAUCAUCAUCCACGUUACUUGAAAUGCACAAAGAGAAGCAACUAUGUAUUCUUCUUCACACGACGAUAAUGCCACUACUGGCUCUUUUCAAGAACUCCAAACAACUGGUGCACCACCUAGCAUAAACACAUAGCCAACUGUUGAUUUUCGAUCCUCAGCAUCACUACACCAACUUGAGUCAGUGUAUCCCACUAAUUUGCAUUAUUUUCCUUCAUCAGCUGCAGGAAACAAAAUGCCAUAGUCGAGAGUUUCUUUCAGAUACCUUAGUAUCCUUUUUGUCGCUGCUAGAUGUGAUACCUUUGGCUUCUGCAUGAACCUACUCACCAUACCUACACUGUAUGAUAAGUCAGGCAUUGUAUGACAAAUGUAUCGAAGUGACCCAAUAAGUCUUCUAUAUUGGAUUGGGUCGACAUCAUCUUCAUAUGAAUCUUUCGACAAUUGUAAUCUGGGCUCAGCUGGAGUCGAAGUUGGGUUGCAAUCUUUCAUCUCAAAUCUCUUGAGUAUUUCGUUUGUAUACAUUCUUUGAUGAAUUAUAAAACCCCUAUCACUUUUGUAGAAUUCGAUGCCAAAGAAAUAUGAAAUGUCACCCAGAUCUGACAUUUCAAAUUCCUUGUUGAGAUCACCUUUGAAGUCUUCGAUCUCCUUCUUGCAGCUACCUGUUACAACAAGUCAUCGACAUAGAGACAUAAUAUAAGCAAUUAACUCUUGCUUCUUCUUACAUAUACUCCAUGUUCACUUGUGCACUUCACAAAUUCCUUCUCCCUUAGAAAAGCAUUUAUCUUCUUGUUCCAAGCUCUUGGAGCUUGUUUAAGUCCGUACAGGGCUUUAUGCAGACUGUACAUUUUCUUUCUUCGCCAUGUUUCACAAACCCAACUGGAUGUGCAACAUAAACUUCUUCUUCUAAGGGGCCAUUAAGGAAUGCACAUUUCACAUCCAUCUGGAACAUUUGCCAGUUGUUCAUGUUUGCUAGACCAACAACCAAUUUGAUUGUUUCGAUCCUAGCAACAGGUGUAAAAACCUCAUUGAAAUCGAUUCCUUCUUUUUGAAUAAAUCCUUUCGCCACAAGUCUCACCUUGUGUCGAGUCACUUAUCCUCUAGGAUUCAACUUCACCUUGUAUACCCACUUCACAUCGAUUGCCUUCUUGUCUUGGGGAAAUUCGACAAGUCACCAAGUGUUGUUGACUUCAGUUCUUCGUCCAUUGCUUUCAUCCACUUCGAAUCUUUCAAUGCCUCAGUUGCAUUGACAGGUUCGACAUCUGCAUAAAAAGCAUAAUCUACCAUCUCACCUUCUUCAUUGACCAUGUCAUCUGAUGUAAUCACACAUUCUUCCAACCUUUUAGGCAUGUGUCUUGUUCUUUGAGGUCUGCUUAUGCUUGCUUCACCUAUGAUUUCUUCCUGUCGAACUUCUCUUUCGACUUCACUAGCCGGUUCAUCAUAAAAGAUUCUCACUGAAUCUUUCUUGACAUUCUCAGUCCAAUCUCACUCCUUAAGCUCAUCUAUGAUCACGUCCUUGCUGAUCACCGCUUGCUUAUUCAAUGGAUAGAACAACUUGUAUCCUCCAGUCGAAUGAUAUCCUAUCAGGAUCAUCUGAUUCGACCUGUCAUCAAGUUUUCUUCUCAACUGAUCUGACACAUGUCUAUGUGCUAUAAAUUCAAACACCCUAAGAUGACUCAAGCUAGGCUUGUCAUCAGACCAACAUUCUACUGGUGUGAUUCCUUCUAGCUUCUUUGUCGGACAUUUGUUCAGGACAUAUGUCGCAAUUGACACAAUUCUCCCCACAAUUCUUUGGGUAGAUGCUUGCCUUUCAACAUACUUCUAACCAUAUUCAUAAUGGUUCUAUUCUUCCUUUCUGCGACUACAUUCUGUUGUGGAGUGUAGGGUGGUACCACCUCAUGCACAAUCCCUUCUUUCACACAUAAUGCAUCGAAGUCUUUCGACACCUGUGAAGCACGGGUACUCUAUUUUAGAUAAAGUACCGAUACCGAGUACGUACCGGGUACCGGUACUCGUACGGUAUGCGUACGAUAUGCACCGAAGUUGUACCAUUUUUUUUUGUUUUUUUUAAGUUGGUAUACCAUCUGGUACACAUUUGGUACCACGUACCCAACUUUUUUUUAAUUUUUUUCGGAUGGUAUAAUUUGAGCAUUUUUAGUUAAGUAAAAAUUAGGUUAAUUAUUCUAUUUAUAAAUAAAAAAAUUCUUUCACAAGUUUUUCAUCUUCUUGGAGAGAAAUUGGAGCACAAUUAGAUUUACUCACUCAUUGAAAAGGAACAAGCUCAAUCCAAAGAGUGACGAGGAUUUAGUUUUUGUUCAUAAUCUCUGUCUUCUCAUAUUACGGUUUAUAAUAAAGGAGCAACAAAGAUGUGAGAUAUUUGUGGAGAUGAAUGAGAUCUAUUUGAUGUAGUUAGUAUUUUUGAAGUUGUUAGUCUUUCUCUCGAUGAACCUGAACUAGAAGAUGCUCUUUUUAAUGAUAUUGGAGAGAAAAAUAUUGAUUUAUGAAUACUUUUUAAAUGUGAUUUAUUUAUGUUAUUGUGCAGAUAUUAGCUUUUUUUAAAGCAAAUUGUUUUGUAAUUUUAAUGUUUUGUUGUUAUUUAAAAAAAUAUAACUCCUUUGUUAUUUUUAUAAUUGUAUUUAAAAAAAUUAUACUGAUGUACCCGUAUCUUAGUUUUUCUAAAAAUGUUGUACUCCGUACCGGGUACUGGAUACGUACCUGUACCUAUGCAACACAAUUCGACACAUAUUAUCCACCACCAUCAGUUCUCAAAAUCUUGUUCUUUCGACCGCUCUGUCUUUCGACCAUAGAUUUAAACUUGACAAAUACCUCGAUCACUUCACUUUUCUUCUUGAUCAGGUAAGACCACAGUUUUCGACUGAAAUCAUCUAUGAAUGUAACAAAGUAUUUGUUACCCCCAAUCGAAUCCACCUGGAGAGGAGCACAUACAUCAGAGUAUAUGACUUCAAGAAUUGCCUUCGACUUGCUUCUUGCAUCCUUACUAAAGUUGUUCUUAUGUUGCUUCGCCUGCAUUCAUUCUUCACACACUUCGUUUGGAAUGUCAAUUUCUAGUAAUCCUAAAACCAUAUUUAUUCUAUUCAAAUCUAUGAUGUCUUUGAAAUUGAGAUGACCAAGUCUAUACAUAUUCAUUCAUCUCUGCUGGCUGUUGUUGCAAGGCACUUAUGCUCCAUUACAUUAAGCUCAAUCUUGAUGGUUCUAUUCUAAGACAUUGGAGCCUUCAAGAUCAACCUUCCAUUUGAGUUGAGAACUCUCAUCAUCUUGUCUUUGAUCGACACCUUGUAGUUCUUUUCGACUAACUACCCUAUGCUGAGCAAAUUACUCUUCAUGCCUGGUAUGUACAACACAUUUGAAAUUACUAACCUCUUGCCAUCUUUCCUCAUAAUCACCAACACCUUCAGCUGCUAGAGUGUUGUCAUUUGAAAAUUUCACCAUGUUCUUCGUUGAGGGCUUUAUGUGGACAAACCAAUCUUUUCUUCCAAACAUGUGUGAUGAGCAUCUUAAAUCCAAGUACCACUGGUCCUUGAAUCUCUCUUCAUCUCUUAUUGUAAACAUCAACAACGUCUUUUCUUCUUCAUGUUUCGCCAGCUUUGCAUAAGUUUCUUGAUUCUUCUGCUUUUUUGGACAAUCACUGGAAUAGUGACCACACCUUUGACAAUUGUAACACUGAAUGUGACUCUUGUCUGACUUUUGACCACCACCUCUUCCUCUACCUGCAACACCACCUCUUUAGUUGCCUUGGUUCCAGUAUUUUCUCUGAUUCGACCAAUUUCCUUCUUGUUGAUUUCGACCCGUCGAAUUGUUGUAACCUCCUCUACCUUUGGUGCCAUUCCAACUUCCUUUGCCUUUUCUUUCUUGUGCUGAUUGAGCCUACAAAGCCAUAUCACUCUUCGACUUUCCUGCAGCUCUUUCAGCCAUUCUUUGUUAAUGAGAUUCAAGCAUCCCUUGAAGCUCUUCCUUUGUCAAUUUUGACAAAUCUUUCGACUCUUCUAUGGCUACUACCGCAUGGUCGAACUUUGGAGCCAACGACCUCAAGAUCUUUCCAACAACAGAUCUUGAUGUCAACACUUCUCUAUAUACCUUGAUUUGAUUCACUAGUUUCGUAACCUUGGUGAAGAAAUCAGUUAUGCUUUCAUUGUAUUCCAUCUGAAGCAAUUCAUACAUUCUUUUGUGAGUUUGUAACCUCACCUCUUUCACCUUCUCCGCGCCUCCAAACUAUUUCUCCAGAAUCUCCCAUGCUUCUUUCGUUGACUCUGCAUCACUAACCUUUUCAAAGUUAUUUGCAUCAACAUAUUGAUGGAUUAUAAAGAGAGCUUUAUAAUCUUUAUUCUUCAAUUCUUUAUGUGCAACCUUUUCUUGAUUUGUCGCGUCUUCUACAAGCGUCGUUACUCCUUCCAUCACAAGAUCCCAAAGAUCUUGAUAACAGAACACAACCUUUAUCUGCUUGAACCAAUUCUCAUAAUUGUUGUUCUUGAGAAUCGGAAGAUUUGCUGGAAAAUACCCAUUUGGAUGAUUCGUUGCCAUGGUGAUUUUCUUUCCACAAAUCGUUUCAACCGGAGCUCUUGAUACCAGAUGUUGGAAACCCCCCAAAAUCUAUGGAGAAUUUCAAUCAAUCUUGAUGAACACGAUUUUUAUCACCCACGCAAUAGCAAUGAAAAGAAAGAACAAUGGAGAAAGAAAGAGUGUAAAGAACGACGAAGGAGAAGAAGAAUUAAAUUCUGUAGAGUUUCUCUCUGCCCACAAACAGUGGAAAACUUCUUAUUCACUUUGCAACUGCAAAAUACUGUGAAUACAAUGUUAUGAAUGAUCUAUUCACCUCUUUACAAAAAUAAGGGUUACUCCUUCUAUUUAUAGAUUUAGGUUAAUUUGGACCUCAAGGCAAAACCCCAAACUAUAAAAGCCCAAAAUAGCUAACACUACUAAAAUAGGCAUAAGUCGAAAUCCUAUGUGAAGCAACAUGCUUCGACACUUCUACACUUCAACACUAACACGACUCAAUCACACUAGGUGGUUCAAAACUUCCUUGUUCAGUCGAGCAACCUGCUUCGACACAAGGAAUUACAAUUCAACACUCUUUGGGAGUACAGACAAUCAGGUACAGGAGUAGUCGAUUGAGUUAGAGGAUGGCGACGAUACCUCUUUAGAUUUUACCAUUGAGUCUUAGAGAAGUCGCUCUGAUAUGUAUCACUGGGGAUGUGAUGUCAUUCGCUAUUUGUGUUAUGCUUUAUUUAUGUUGGAGUCUUGGUUGUUGAGACUUUUAUGUCGAACUUGUUUACUUCCGUUGUUUAGUUUCACAUGACUAUUUCGUAUUUGAUGCUUUAUGCUAUGAUAAAGCAUGCGUGUCACUCUAAUCAUGGAUUUUUAUUUGAAUUAUUUUAUUAAAUGUCGAGUUGGAGAUUAAGGUGUUACAUUAUGAAUGAGUGUGAGACUAUGAUGUUGUUGACUGUGUAUUGAAUGAGUGUUAUGUUGUAUGUUCUCUACUUUAGCAUUGUUUUCACUAUUUAUAUUGAAUGUUGUUUCUCAUCCUAUUUGUUUCAUGUUGUCCACCAUGGACAUCUUGUAGAUACUCAAGACCCAUUAUUAUUGUUGUGUGUGGAAGGUGGUUUGUUAAACCUACUAUUCACUUUUAUUUAUCGCUUUAUCAUACAUUAGUGGUUUUUAGUGCUCUGAUUGUGUAACAUUGAGGAUACAAAUUUGCUAUAUUUUAUGUUGAUAUUGAUUUUGUUGUUUUGAAGUUUAUUACUUUAUUUAUGAUGUUGCUAUGAAAUAUUUGUCCGCUACGUAGUUUCAAAUGAUUUGAUAUAUUCUCAAUGGUUGUUUUUGGUUACACCUUAAAUUAUCGUGUAAAACUCUUUAAAUAAGUUUCGAGGUUUAAGAUGUUAUACAUAUAAUCUAUCUAUCUAUCUAUCUAUUUAUAAGUAUAUUUUCACAAACAAACUCAUAAAAGACCAGGUUAUGAAAAACGUCGAUAUAAAAAAUACAUGGAAAAUGUAUUUUAAAACCUACUAAUCAAAAUAAUAUCAUUUUUUAUCAAAAUCUUAAAAGAAUCAAUAACAUUAUUACCGAAUUAAAAUAUAUACAUAUUUUUAUAUUCUUAUAAAUCUUUUUAAGCAAUUGAAUGCAAAUGUAUCUGCAACAAAGUAAGUAGAUUAAAAUAAAAAUAAAGAAUGUAUAAAAUCGGGGAGACAUAAAACUAGACCCAAUAAUUAAAAAAAUAAACAAUUCAAUAGGAUAAUAAACAAAAAUCCUAAUAAGAGUUAGACUUAAAUGCACUUUUGGUCCCUCUAGUUUGGUCAUUUUUAAAUAAUUGACCCCUAUUACAAUUUGAUCCUUUAAUUUUGAAGAUCUUUAGAUUGUUAUGGUCCCCCUCCACUUUUGCAUAGGUGGCAAUGAUGAUUAGGGUUUUUUAAAAUGAUUUUUAAUUUUGUGGAAUUAUUGACUAGGAUAAUUUAUUUUUUAAUAAUUUUGUAUAAUUAAUAACUUAAUAAAUUAUUAUUUAAUAGAUUUAUUAAUUAAUAACUUAAAGCUCAUUUCAUUGAAGCACAUAGUCAAUUAACAAAUGCCCACUUUCAUCUCAAGAUACUUAUGUCAUGAUUUUCACAUGUUCAAGCUUUAUAAACCCUCAUCUUAUACUAAGAAAAACCAAUAUGGGACUAUACUAGCAACACCACUAUAAUUCCAUGCUGAAACAUGUGAUAUUUGUCUUACUUCUAUAUUCUGAUUUCAAUUUCAUGACGUGUAAAAUAUUAUUUUUCAAAUAUUAGCUUAUACAAUACCAAGAUUCAAAAAACAAGCUUCCUAUUUGCAGUCUCCAAUGCUAAAAGAGGGGGAUUGAUAUUGUGCUUAACGAUGAGUCCAAACGUAAAACUCCUGCUAUUGUGUAUUUCAGUGAUAAAUAGCGGUUCAUUGGGACAAAUGGGGCUGCUUCUACUAUGAUGAACACGAAAAAUUCUAUCUCCCAGAUGAAGAGGUUGAUCGGUAAGAAAUUUGUUGAUCCAGAAGUGCCGAGUGAUAUGAAGUCAUUGCCUUUUGCUGUCAUUGAAGGAUUUGAUGGGUACCCGUUAAUUCAUGUGCGGUAUCUUGGUGAAGCUAGAGCAUAUACAACCACCCAAGUCUUUGCGAUGAUGCUGUCAAAUCUUAAAAAGAUUGCCCAGAAAAAUCUGAAUGCGACUGUUGUUGAUUGCUGCAUUGGAAUUUCAAUUUAUUUUACUGAUCUUCAGACAAGAGCUGUAUUGGAUGCAACCAGAAUUGCAGGUCUGCACCCGCUUCACUUGAUUCAUGAGAUAACGACAACUACUUUGGAGGAGGACCACAAAAAUGCACCUAUGCACAAAAGUGGAGGAGGACCAACAAUUAUUAAAAAACAAAUUAUUCUAGUCAAUAAUUCCAUGUAAUUAAAAAUAAUUUUUAAAUCCUAAUCAUCACUGCCACCUAUGCACAAAAGUGGAGGAGGACCACAAAAUGCAAAGGUGAUCAAAAUUAAAGGAUCAAAAUAACUAUUUUUGUAAUCAGGGAACCAAUGAUUUAAAAUGAUCAAAUUAGAAAAACCAAAAGUGCAUUUAAACCUAAGAAUUAAGAAAUAUCAAAAGUAAAGGGUUGUAUAUGUGACGGUAGAAAAUUUACAAUUGGUAGACAAUCCCAAUCCCUUAUAUAUAAGGACUUUGAAAUACAUAUUAAAAAAAUAGAAGAAUAUAACAUCUUCAUUAUAUAUAAAAAAUGCGUCGGUUACAUAUACAUAAUUUAAAAGAGAUUAAUUAUUAUGUAUUGUCAGUGUAAAAAGAUUUACACCGUCGAUUCAUCACCAUCAUUCGUUUUCAUUACUUAUAGAUUUUUAAAAUAAAAGUCAAACUUAUCUCAAUAUCCAAUGUCUAGGAUUAACUCACAGUGUAAAAUUCCUUUAUAAUGAUAGUGUAUUUCAAUUAAAUCCAAUUUAAAAUUCAAUUCAUUUCUUUUCUUUUUUAUUCAAAUUUCAAAUAUAUUUCAAUGAUUUUGAAAUACACAUCUAAGAAAUAGAAGAAUAUAACAUCUUCCUUAUAUAUAAAAAAUGCAUCGAUUGCAUAUACAUAAUUUAAAAUUCAAUUUUCAUUCUCUUUUCAUUUCUUCUCUUUCGAAUAAGUGUUGGAGUGUUAAUCUUAAAUGUCAUACCCCUCCAUUAAAUUGCAAACUCAAAUCUAUUUAUUGUAAAGCUUCAGAAACAUCUAUUCACCUAUAACUCUUGGUUCAGCAACCGAAAAAUAAUUAAUAAAAUAAUAAAAUUAUUUUAUCAUAAUACAUUAGAAUUAUUUUUUCACCUUUUUACGAGGAAGCCCAACCGCCUAUAAAAUAUAAAAGUGCUUAUUCCCACUCCCACUCGGAGUACAAAGUACAGACACCCUAACACCACACCACGCAUACUCAAACCAAAACGAGAGGACCAAACCAAACUUAAAAAUACACUCCGCUCAGCGUUCUGUUUAUUUGAAUUCACUCUCCACACUCCACACACACAACAUGGCCGUCGUUGGUGUUCUCGCUUUACAGGGUUCUUUCAACGAACACAUAGCAGGCAUAAUCACUUUAUCUCUCUAUCUUUUUUGUUUUCCAAUUUUCUCAUUCACUGUCUCACCUUCAACCUUUUGUGUUUGUGUUUCAGCUCUCAAAAGGUUAGGUGUUAAAGGUGUUGAAAUUCGAAAACCUGAACAGCUUCUCACUGUUAAUUCCUUAAUCAUCCCCGGUGGUGAAAGCACCACUAUGGCUAAACUCGCCGAGGCUUUCAACCUGGUAUCUCUUCCCUCUCUUUUUAAAUUUAUGUUUCAAUUUUUUUGAGCUCUCUAUGUAGUAUAUUUUAUGGCGUAAAUAAUCAAUUUAGUAUAUCAAGAGUUUAUGAACUGUUGUCACCUAAAGUGAUAAGAGCUUGUUUGUUAAACUUCAAGAGACAUUUCAAAUCCCUUCUGAGAGGUCGGUGCUACUUUUAGAUGUGUGAGAAUUGUUUAAAAAAAAGUAUAAGGUGCGUUGUAUAAGGUUGUUGAAGUAAAGAAAAAAACAAUUUUUUGGAACACUUGUAUGAGUGUUAUAUGGGUGUCGAAGCAAAGAAAAAAAAUCUAUUUUCAGUGACACUUUUUUUAUUUUUCCAACCUGUGUCGUACGUGUGUCAUAUGUUCGCGACACGGCUACACGCCUAAAGGUGUCCGUGUUUGAUAGGUUUAUAGUGUUAGUUUAAUGUAUAAUAAUUUCUCAUUCACUAAUUUUAUAUGAAGGAUAUUAAAUAGUUUAGUGAAUAAAGGAAAAAUGAUGGGGAUUGCUUUCGUUGUCUUGAAUAUGCAUUUAGUCUGCAACACAUUUUGUCAAUUUGUAAUCUGUCAGUGAAAUUAGUUUUCAUUUUCUUGAGCAUGACUCAUAUUCAUCGUUUGAGUGUAUCACAGUGUUAUCAAAUAUCCGCCAUGGCGGUUUUUGGACUCGCCGCAAUGGUAAAUAUCGGCCAAUAUUGCAGGUUUUUCCGCCAUAAUCUGCUAUAACGGCAUCGUAAAGUGGAUGUUAUGGCCACCAUCGACAAUACUGGCGUAUCAUUGUGUAGUAUUUAAACACUGGAUUGUAUUCUGUAACUCUAAAAAUUGCACAAUUGAAAAACUACUGUGGCUACUUUGUUGUCGGAGACGUAGACAUAGACACUGUUAAUUGUUCUUUAUCAUCAAUUGUUUCUGUUCGUGUGUUUAUUUUAUUUAUCGGUCUACUUUAGAAUCAUAUUUGCUAUUCUAAUUCAUUCAAAUGAAGAAUGGAAGCCUGGCCGGUUUAGACGAACCUUAUGUUAAUUUAAUUUUACAGAAACUAAACAUAUGUUUGAAUUGAAGUUUUUAAACUUAAGCUUGAGUAAAUUUCAAGACCAGUUGGAGACUCUCAAUUGAAAACCAAGUCCACUCUAAUAUGGGUACUAUUAUGUUUUUUAGGAGCUAAUUUGAUUAGAAUUUAAUAACUAAAUAGACAGGUGUAAAAAUAUUUUUGAUAGGUAUUUCAUUCAGUGUUAUCAAGUAGCGCCGCCAUGGCGGAUAUAUAUGGAGUUUUUCGGACUUGCCGCAAUGGUAAAUAUCGGCCACCGCCAUAAUCUGCUAUGACGGCGCCAUAAAGUGGCUGGUAUGGCGGUAUUUUGGCUCUCCGCCAUAGGCAACACUGAUUUCAUAUUUUAUCGAAUUGACAUGCGCCAUAUUUAACUAUGGUGGUAGUUUCAGCAUGUAUGACAAAAGGUUAAAUAUCACCAAAUGUAUGUAUAAACUAUGUUUCCAGUGUCUGUACUUAAUUAUUGAAAUUUUAUACUAACGCCGUACUUUUAUGCUCAUGGAAUCAAGUCACAAUUAUGUCAUUGAUGAUGAUAAACUAUUCUGAAUGUUUCAAUUUAUCAGUUUCCAGCUUUGCGAGAGUUUGUGCAAAUGGGAAAGCCAGUUUGGGGAACCUGUGCAGGACUAAUUUUCCUGGCAAAUAAAGCUACAGGUGGGUUGUUUCUCUCCAAGGUUUUAAAUUAUGGCCAGCAAUCAUAAUUGCGGUCAUAAUAUCAAUGAUUUUUGGAAUUUCCAUGUUUGCGUUGUGACUGCAAUUGCGGCUAUAAUAUCAAAUAUUUUAGUCUUAUUUUCCCUGUCACACAAAACAUCUAAUGAUUGUUUAAAAACUUCAAAUGACAAACAUCAUUUCAGGACAGAAGACUGGUGGACAAGAACUUGUUGGUGGACUUGAUUGUACUGUACACAGAAAUUUCUUUGGCAGCCAGGUAAUGCAUGUAUUUGAUGUAUCUGCUUUUAUGGAGUAGCAAUAUCAGAGAACACAAUCAGUUUAUUUUAUUUUAUUUCCUUUUCUCUUAUUCUUUUUACUUUAACUUUUGCUUUUUACUUUAAUCAUCAGAUCCUUUAAUUGAUUGAUUUGAUUAUAUUUAGCAUGAUCCUUUAAUUGAUCAAGUCCAUUAUCUCUUUCCAUGUUAGUAAAGAUCUUAUCAAUUAGGAUCUCUUUCCUUGUUAAUAAGUUUGUAUUAAAAAUUUAAAAUGAAUGAGUGUUGUUGAAAUAUAGUGGUAUAAAGUUAUUAGUAGAGCUCAUUUUAUAAUUAUUUUUGAGCUGUUAGAUUAGAGGAAGUGGGUGCGUAUUAAGUAUUAAUAUUAAAAAGUUAUAAAUGAGUGAUGUGUAACAGGGAGAACCACUUAGAGGAACUACCAUUGCAGAUGCUAUAAGGUGACUGACUUGUACAAAGUCUAAUAAUAUAGUUUUUCUGAAGCUUUUCUUCACUCUCUUCUCUUCCUCCCUUACACUACUUGUUCUGUACCUAAUUCAGUUUUCUUAUCAUCUAGAAGCAUGUCAACCUAAAAUAGUUACUUCAAGUUUACGAUCCUUGGCUGCAGUGGUUUUUGUCAAAACAACCAUAUCUUUUUGUAAAACAUUUAGCAUUUUAUCCAUUAUAGCUACUACUAAUAUUCACAGAUUUCUUGUUUGGAUGUAAAUAUAAUAAUACUGUUCUAAGUGAAAAUUGGUUAAAGAAUAUAAUUUUGGUCAGUUAUUUUUUUUUAACAAAACACAUGCUUAUUCAGAUUCAAAGCUUUGAGACAGAGCUUCUAGUACCAGAGCUUGUGUCCAAGGAAGGUGGUCCUGAAACAUUUCGUGGAGUUUUUAUUCGUGCCCCGGGAAUUCUUAAUGUAGGGCCAGGUGUUCAAGUCCUAGCUGAUUAUCCUGUACCUUCUGACAAAGUACUGAGUUCCGAUUCCUCUGUUGAAGGCAAAAAGGUUAGUUAUUGACACUGUCUAUACUCUAUAGAACACUUUUAGCUGCCCCUUUAUGAAUGUAAGAUCAGUAGAGGAUGGUGGUUGUACUUUCUAACUUCUCGUGUUUUUUCUUAUUUCUCAGUUUGACUAAACAAUAUAUAUUUCACUGACUUAGAUUGUAUGGGUCUUGCUAACAUUUACUCUAAGGGCACAUAUUAAGGAAUAAAAAUAUAGAAAUUUUGUCUUGAAAAAACAAUCUUUGAACAUUUAAAGAAUUGAUUGCACAAUUUCCAAGACAAUAUUUGUAUAUUUACUUUAGUUUAGUGACAUGUUCCCUACUUAAGGACACAUGUUAGCAUUUGCCAUAUUUUAUUUAUAGAUUGGAUUGUUUGUUAAUUCAAAUUUUAGGUUGUGAAUAGUGAUUUGUUUCAGAGCUAUUAGAAUUUAAAUGGUUUGUCCGAUAAUAGGAAUAAUGAAAACAUGCUAGAAUGUAAGGGAUCAGAUCAGAUCAGAAUCAGAGGCCCAUAAUAAUGUUACCAUUACCUUAUUGGAUGUAAUUUUCCAAGCUUAUAUGUUGGUCUCAUCUUCAUAUACAUAAUGAACUUCUGAUAUACUGUAUUAUUAGGCUUAGUUGUUUAUACUAACAUGGAUCAGCAGGAGGUUGGCCAUAGCUUUUUCUGGCAUCCUAAGUAAAGGCUAAUCCAUGUUUUGACUGUUAAAAUAAAUGAAUGUCAUCAUGUACUUGUAGCUAUAGGAUUUGCACAGUGACAAUAAUUUUUAAUUUUGUGUUGAAGUGCAGUAAUAAAUACUAGUAAAGAAAUUCAGAUGGAGUGAGUUUUUAGGAAAUUGUUAGUGAUUGAUUUGUUAGGGGGAGAUAGAAUUUGUUAGUAGCAAGAGUCAAACUCUACACCUCCUUCAUACUCCUACCGUGUCCCAAUCAAUCCAUAUCACUGGGUUACACUGCGGGGACAUGUUAGAUAGAGUGAUGACUAGGCUAGUCAUGGUGCCCCCACUUGAGGCCCUGUGGCAUACAUGGUUUGCUGCUAGUGUUUGUUCUGCUAAUAAUUCCUAUGUUUUCUGUCGAAAGAUAUUUAGUUCCCUUAAUGAAGAAUUGGCAAACUCUGUCUUUCCAAUGUAGUACAUCUGUUAUAGUAUAUUUCUUCAUCCUACGAGGUUGGAUUUAAGUAUACACCUGAAUUUGCUGGAGUCCAGAGGAAUGAUUACUCAGUAGCAACCACAUGUCCUGUUUAUUAUAAACUUAUUUGCUUAAGGCGCACUUUUGUUUGGGUUAGGUGAUUUACAAAUCAGUGUUAUAAUGAUCGAUUUUUUUUUUCUUUUCAAAUUUUGGUAUUCGGCCUAGCGAUAAGGGGGCCCACUCGUGAGUACGAAUCCCAAUGUCCACUUGUGGGGCUCUGUUUAAAGUCAGAGCAAAGCUCUAUGUGAAUUUGGCCCAACACAUAAAUUGUUUGCAACUAACGAGAUUCGAACUUGAGACCUUGAAAGGAGAACUCUCUCAGGAUCCAAGCUUUCACCACUAAACCAAUCCCUGGAGGUUAGAACUUUCACUUCUUUGCUUGGCGAGAUUGAACAUUUAUGCUAUUUUAGUUCUUAGCUUGACGAGAUUGAUGCUUGGACUUGGAUACUCCGAGCAGAGCUCUCUCUGGUUCUCAGUCUCUCUAUAUCUCUUGUAGUUCCUCUCUUUCACACGUACCAAUCCCCUCACCAUUCACUCACUUGUCAUUUUCCACUAGAGGUAGGGGGUAGUAGAUGAUCCAAAUGCGUAAAAACUAUGGGUUCCGAUUGCCGUUAAUAUUUUCUAUAAGAAAAUGUUAGUGGUUAAUUUGUUAGGAAGAGGAGAAAUUUGUUAGCAGCCUGGAUCAAACCCGGAACCUGACUACAUAUUUGGAGAUGCCAUUUCCCCCAACACCUAACUGUUUCUUAUUGUUUAUGGAAUGACAGGAGAAUGCUGAAGAAGGCAGCAAAGUCAUAGUUGCUGUGAGACAAGGGAACAUACUGGCGACUGCUUUUCAUCCGGAAUUGACUGCUGAUACUCGAUGGUAGAUAUGAUUUGUUUUUGGCUUUUGAAUCUUACAAUGUUGCAGUAUGACAUAUGAAGUUAAUUUCAAAAGUUGUAUUUUUGCAGGCAUAGUUAUUUCUUAAAGAUGGAAAGUUUGGUUGGAAAAGAGGCCUCAAGUAGCAUUGUUCCAGAACAAGUCACACAAGUCGGUACAAGUUUUAAGCAACCACCUCUGCACGAUCUUCCUAUCUUUCAGUAGGACCAGAAACUGUUAAAAAAUUAUGAAUGUUUUAUUUAUUUGUCAAACAAUUUUCUCUUGGAAACAAUACAUGAUAAUCAUUAGAUCUUAGAAAAUAGUUUAAAAAUAUUCUUUUGAGAGAUAAACAAUGCAUAGACUGUGUUUUCUGUAGUUAUCUAUCUACAUAGUUGCAUUUCAUAUGUUUUUCCCCCAUGGGUCAUUUCGUUGGUUUAUACAGUAUACAAACUGCAAUGUUUAUUCAACAUUUGAAAUUUGAAUGAAAAUUUAUCUUCCUUUUAUUUUGUUAAAUUACGUUUUUGUUCUCUACUGAGUUGUGCAUGGUUUUGAUCCAAAAGAUAUUGAAUGGAUUAAUCUACCUGCACCACCUUUACCGUGGGUACAAAGUAACCACUAUAUGACCCUGUGAUUUUGUCUGAUGAUCUUUUAUGUUCAACCCAUCUUUAAACCAAAAUCAAAAUUUCACAUUUAUAACCAUACUCACAUUUGAUUCAAUGGCAUCAGUAAGUUAAAUGCUUCUAUUUUUAAGUUGAAUAGGUUUAACAUACCUAUAUGUAUGUAUGAAAGUCGUGAUUUGCAAUGUAAAAGAUUAAAUGCAAUAUUGUGUGCAACAAAAAUGUCUUUUGUCCAAUUUUGAACCUCUUGAUAAAUGGAUUCGUAAUACAAAAAUGACGUAGAGAAAGUAAAACAACACAGUCAGCACAGCGCACAAUAAUAUAGUAAACAAACAGAAACUCUAAGUUAGGAAAUAAAGAAGAACAAGAGAUCAAUCUAAAAUAUACAUUACUUUAGCUUUGCAUUGAUCGAUAGUGACAUGAACGUUUUUUAAUAAAGAAGAUCUAUUUAUGAUCAAAUAUUUUUUAACAUAUAUAUUCUCAUAAGUGUUGCCUAUGCCACAAAUACAUUUUUUUAAAAUUAAUAUGAUAAUGUUAACUUGUGUUUAAGAAAUUUAAAAAUAAAAAAUUUGUAUUGAAAAUAUAAUUAAAAAAAUUGAUUAUCAACUUUCAAUAAAAAUAAUGCACAAUUUUCGAAGUUUUUUUUUUUUUUCUUUUUAUAUUUAUCUCUUAUCUUAGCAAUUUUUAUGUUGAUUUUUAAAGUAAGAUAAUGUGUUAAAUUUAAAAUAUUUAUAUUAGUUGAAGUGGCUUAAAAUAGUAUUUGUUGGAUAGUUGAUUUUAGGGUUUUGAUAUUAGCACCAUAUCUAUUAUAUUUAUUUGAGUUUUUUUAAGUAAGUCUCACUCAAUUUUUUUAUUAUAUUAUAUUUCAAUUUUUUUGUAAUAAUUUAAUUAUAUUUUUAAAUAUUCAUAUAAUUAAUGUUUUAAAAUUGGACGGUCAUCAAACCAAUGAGUGUAUUGAGUAUGGUUCAUUUAUUAAACUAUUGGGUCAAUGAUCGAAUCACAUGAUUAAAUUCGAUUGAAUACAUUAUAUAGUUAUUAAAUCAGUCAAACUCAAUGAUCCAUCUUUAAAAAACUAUGACAUUUAUAAAAUUUUAAAAUUUUAAAAUAUUAAAGUAGUAUAAAAUACAAAUAUAAAUAAAUUUUGAACAAAAUCUAACUGUAACAUAAAUAUAAUAACAAAAUAAUUGGCAGUGUUUAAUUUCAACGAGGGAAAAUUGUUUCGAGUAAGUUUUGAACAAAGUCUAUUUAUAUUUAUAUUUAAUUUUUUAAAUUAUCAAAACGACGUAGUUUUGUUUUGAAAAAAAAAGUAAACAUUUAACCCACCAAUUUUUUUAAUAUAUAUUAAAAAAUCACAAUACAUGAUACAAAUAAUUUAUUAAAAAAUACAUUAAAAAACUUAAAUGAUAAAAUAUAUAAAAAUACAUUAAAAAACUUAAAUGUUAAAAUAUAUUACCCACACAAAAUACAAGAAAAAGAUAUAUUUAAAAUAUUUUUCAAUUGAUGUUAUUCUCUUGCCCAUAAUGUUGCCAUAUAUGUUAUAUCAAGUCUUGUUGAAGGUGUCGAUGAAUUUGUUUAUCACAAAUUGAUUAUGUGCUAGAAUACUUCUAAGUGACAAGAUCGUGUUGGGUUACAUAUGAUCGUAAAUUGGAAUUGAAGAACUUCAAAUAUUCGUUCAAUAUCCUUUAUUGUCCCUUCUUGAUAUAAGGCAAACAAUUUUCUCUUAUCCCCUUGUGGUAUCGGGAUACUUUUCACAAACGUGAUCCAUUUAGGAUAAAUUUCAUUUGAUAGAUAAUUACUCUUGUUGUAUUCAGUAUGAUUGAUUGUAUAAUGAACAUCAAGAGUUCUCCCUUGCAGAACAUCGUUGAAGAUAUUGGAUUUGUUCAACACUUAAUAUCGCUGUUUGAAUCCGCUACUCCAAAGAAUGCAUGUAAAAUCUAUAAGUCGUGUGAAGCCACUGCUUCAAGCAUAAUCGUUAAUUUCUCAUGAUCGCCUCAAAUGUAUUGUCCUUUCAAUGCAACAGGACAAUUUUUCCCUUUCAAAUGCAUAUAAUCAUGCUUUCUAACAUACUUGGAAAUCUUUGGGCCUCCUCCAUUAGCAUUAAGCAUUCAAUGUCUUCAAUUUUUGGCCUUCAUAAAUAUUAUGCCCCCAAGAUGCCAAUCACACCCCUUAUAAACUCAUCAAUAUAUUUUAGUGUCGUGGUUUCACCAAUUCUCAGAUAGUCAUCCAUACUGUUAGCAUAUGCUUCAUAUGCCAAUAUACAUAUAACAAUAUUGUAUUUCUGUUGCAGUGAAAUACUUAUCUACCAGUUGCAUCAACCUUCAUUAAAAAUACUCAUCAUAUUGACACAGUUUCAAUAAUAUGAAGGAACACAUGUUUAUGCAUUCAGAACCUUUGAUGGAACUGCUCAUUCAUGUAUACUUGAGUUUUUAAAUAAUAAUCAUUGAAUAAUCGAUCAUGUCUCUCUUCACGAUUGCUCUCUAUUUCCUUCUUUACGUCUAGUACUUUUAGAGCUAUAGGUUUAUUCUUCCAUAAACAAUCUCACAAGUUCUUCAUCUAUAUCAUGAUUCAUAUAAUCCAUGAACAUUUCUGCAAUGUUGGAAGGAUUAGAAGGAUCCAUAUGAAAAGAAGUUUGAUAUUGAGUAAAAGAUGAUAACAUACUGUAGAGAAUGGAAAGUGGUUGGAAAGAACUAUGAAAUUUAUUGUGCAUGUUAAUACUAUUUAUAGGACUAGUUUGUAAUAACAAGUUUGAAUAACUACUAAUUUGACUUUGCAUAACGACUAAUUUGAAUAACAAUUAGUCAUAAGAAAACAUAAUUAAAUUUUAAGAAUACAUAAUCACACUAAAAAAUCCAAAAUACAUAAUCAUAUCAUUUAAGUCCAUAUUUUUCUCUAAUCAUAUCAUUUAAGUCCAUAUUUUUCUCUAAUCAUAUCGCACAAGAAUUCAUGAACUUGUAGUUGUCUUUUAUUCAUAUUUGAUGUAUCUUUUGUGAGUAUAUACAAAUUAUUGAUCUUCAACUUUCCCUAAAUAUUCUCUGCAUUCUUAAUCUUUGCAUCGACUUUUUUUCUCCAUCUCAACUUUUUCACCCUCAAUACGUAUAUAGCCUUGUGCAAACACUAACAUCAAAUCAAUUUUUUUAAAGUAAUCUUUCAAAUAAUCAUAUUUGAUAUUGGGAGUAGUAGACAUUUCCACAAGCUUUUCUGUAGAGCCCCGUGCAAACACUAACAUCAAAUCAUUUUUUUUAAAGUAAUCUUUCAAAUAAUCAUAUUUGGUAUUGGGAGUAGUAGACAUUUCCACAAACUUUUCUUUCUCCUUCCUUUUGACUUCCUUUUGAAUGAUUUAAGGACAUGACAAAGUGGGUGAUGUUGGAUUCUAUUCGCAACUUGUUGGUGUCAACGGAUUAAAAGAUGAAGAAUAUGCUCCUGGAACUGAAUUCUUUGUUAUUUUUGUAGAAGAUUUCGAUGAACUUGCGAGUCAUUUAGGUUCAUUUUUCAAUAGUCUCCAUGCAACCUCAAAUGUAAAAUUUUAACCUUCAUCUUGGAAAUAGAUUUUAUAUGUAGUUUACAUGAUAUUGCUCACGGAGCUUCUGCUUUGUUGUGCAGACACAACAUGCUUGUAGCAUCCAACAAUUUUUUAAACAAAUGAGUUAAUUUUGUGUUAUCGAUUUUAACUCUUAUAAUUGAUGUCAUAAUGUUUGUUGUAAUCUUUGUCAAUUUUCUUCCAAAAACUAUCUCCUUUUUAUUCAAUCCUAAUAAUUGAAUCCUUUGAAAUGCUGAGACAUGAUUGCAUGAAAACUUCAUCCUUUUUUUGUUGGAAUAUUUAUUUAGAAGUAUUCACAACCGGUACAUAUGCAACUUCUUCACCAAGGUUAAUAGUUUCUAAUCUACUUUGAAUGCAAAAUUACGGUGUCUCAUGUUCUUGAUCAUUUGAUUGGACAUCUAUACUAUCUAUUUGAGCCCUAUGAGGAAUAAUGGAGUUAGUUGAUAGAGAUGUAAAUUAUUGUUAUUCAUAUGGAUAAGGUGAUGUAUGCUAUGAGUAAUUUUUAAAGUGUGAGUUGUUUUGUGGAUUUGAGAUAAAAGGAGAGUUUUAAAUUUUUUGUUAUGGCGUAGAUUUGAGAUAAGAGGUGCAUUUCCAAAGUAUGGGUAACUUUGUUGAUUUGGGAUAGAAUGAGGACUACCACCAUUUUGCAUAAAAUUGUUGAUUGAGAUCCAUUGACAAAUGAAUGUGUAGAAGAAAAAAAUAAAAAUAAGAUAAAAUAAAUAAUUCAAAAUUAGCCUGAGGGAUUUAACUUUUUAAAUCUCGCUCGAGGGAGUUUCCUUUUCCAAUCCCGCCUAAGAGACUCAGCUUUUUAAGUCUCACUCGAGGGACUCUAUUUUUCAAGUCUCGUUUUAGGGACUCAACUUUUAAGGUCUCACCCGAGAGACUCACCUUUUGAAGUCUCGCUUAAGAGACUUAACCUUUUAAGUCUUGUAUGACGAAUUCGCGUAAGGGACUCAACUUUGUAAGUCUCGCACGAAGGAAUCUUAUUUUCAAGUAUCGCCAAAGGGACUCAACUUUUUAGUCUUGUCUUUUCAAGUCUCGUCGGAGGGACUGAACUUUUUAAGUCUCACUGAGGGACUAACAUUUUAAAGUCUCGCCGAAGGACUCACAUUUUCAAGUCUUGCUAGAGGGACUCGAUUUCCUAAACCUCGCUUGAAAAAGGAGUAUCGUCUACCUUGUUUAAACACUUUGCCCUCCUUAAGCCUCAUGCAUGAGGAAAUGUGGAUUAUGAUAAUUCUGUAGACCCUGUAAGAUUACAAAUCAUAACUCAAUUAGCCCAAGAACUUCUUAAAGGGGAAAAAUGACGAAUCAGGCAUACACUAUAUGGUGGGUCAUGCGUCGUAUGACCCAUUUUGCUUAAAGUAUGAGGUUCCUAAUCCAAAUAUGUGUUAUUAAAGUGGCAACUACACUAAUAUGUAUAAGACCACUAUCUUUGAAAGCGUUAGUAUUUACCACUUCUCUAAGGAAUAAACAGUUCUUUCUAUCUUGGGGAAGAAACUAUUCUUCAUAGUUUUGGGAAAGAACAAUUCUUUGUAUUCCCACGCCUUAGCAAAGUAAUUGAAUUUGAAUUGGUUCUUUAUCCAGCGGUGAUUAUAAAUAUCCCAACUCUUAGGGUUGGAAGUGAAAAAUUCAAUAUUUUUAAAAUAUUCAAAUAUUAACAACAAAGACUUUCGCCAAUAUAUUACUAACACAAUCUAUUCUAUUGAAUAUUUUGCAACUACGAGAAGUAAAAAUAAAAAGGUUAAAUAUGUUAAUCCUGCUAAAUAUUUCAAAUCUCAUUUUUUAUCCCUCAAAAUAUUUAUUUUAAAAAGUAGUCAUUAUAAAAAUUUUCAACCACACUUUUAGUUUCUAAUUCAAAAAUCGUCGCUAAAACGGUUGAUAAUUCAAUCGUAAGUAAUAAAAUCGACGCUAAAUUACGGAAGAGACAAAAAAAAUAUGGAUACAAAAUUUAAAAAAAACCUUCUUUAAAAAAAAAAUAUUUUAAGAAAUUAAAAACAGAGAUUAAAAUAUUUAAUUUCAAAAUAAAAUCGUUUUUUACUUAAUUAGUAACAUGAAAUCCCGAGCAGAUUAUUAAGACAUAGUUCUCAAUGUAAUAAAGUAUAUAUAAUAUAUAAUGACUAAACCACAGCCACAAAUAUCUAAUAUAUAAUGACUACACCACAGCCACAAAUUGUAUCCAAUCAAUCACUUUCAUCCAAGGACACAAAUUUGUCCACAUUAAAAUCCAUGUCAUCCACACCAGAUAAGCAAGAGGAUAAGCCAUACCCAAUCUUCACCGUCAAAUGGAUACUCUCCCAAAUCCAACGCCCAAAAUCCCUCAACCAAAGAUUAUCCAUAAUCAUCAUCAUCACCACCCACAUCAAAUACAACACUAUCACUCAUCCUCAUUUCAAAAACUCACAACAAACUCUCCAUUUUCUAUUCACACCCCCAAAGCUCACAUUAGCACAAACCAAAUGGCAACCGCAACAGCAACCGCCGCUGCCACUUCAUCCUUCAUCGGAACUCGUCUCCGUGAAGUUCAAUCCAAUUCCGGCCGAGUACAAGCCAGAUUCGGAUUCGCAUUCGGAAAGAAGAAAGCCGCACCAAAGAAACCAUCACGCUCGGCUCCAACCACCGAUCGACCGUUAUGGUUUCCCGGAGCAAAGUCACCGGAGUAUCUAGACGGAAGUUUGGUCGGCGAUUACGGUUUCGAUCCAUUUGGUUUGGGGAAACCAGCUGAGUAUUUGCAAUUUGACCUUGAUUCUCUUGAUCAGAAUCUGGCGAAGAAUCUCGCCGGAGAUGUGAUCGGAACUAGGACGGAGUUUGAGGAUGUUAAAUCGACGCCGUUUCAACCUUACACCGAAGUUUUUGGACUUCAGAGGUUUAGAGAAUGUGAAUUGAUUCACGGUAGAUGGGCCAUGCUUGCUACUCUUGGUGCUCUUACUGUUGAAUGGCUCACCGGUGUUACAUGGCAAGACGCCGGAAAGGUUUGUUUGCUUAUGAAAUGUUAAAUAUUUGUCUAGUGUUAAUUACUGCUAAUUUUGAUUAAUUAUCACGUUAAUUACUGCUAAUGUUGAUUAGUUAUCACUUAUAUUAGUGUUAGUACUGUGUUGUUUAGUGUUUAUCAACGCCAUUGUUGGAUGCAUGCAUGCAUUUAGAUUCUAUUCUUGAGUUUGUUGGUUUAUUAUUUUUAUAUUCUUUAAUGUAGUAUUAUUUAUACAGAUUCAUUUCAGUAUAUUUUUCUAGA